Molecule: long non-coding RNA, 2696 nt
Filed under: Zea mays
Lineage: Eukaryota; Viridiplantae; Streptophyta; Magnoliopsida; Poales; Poaceae
Description: long non-coding RNA (ZMAY_LNC005596)
Source: RNAcentral
GGGAACUUGAGGAGUUGAUGCGGCAGAAGUACCCGGAACUUUUCGUUGUGGGUAAGUGUUGUUGAUUUGCUAAGCUUUUCUUGUGUCAUUCCGAUAGAAGCGUCAGAAUUCGAGGACGAAUUCUUUUUAAGAGGGGUAGAAUGUGAUACCCGGUUUGCAAAGAAGAGAAGUUGGGGGUUGUUUUUUUUGUUUUUUUUCCUCAUCCAGUUGUUGUUUUGGGGAUUUGGAAUUUUGUGAAUAACAUUCGCAACUAGGGCAGUAGAUUUUUUUUUUGGUUUGACAUUUGCGUUGCGGUCGGGAGCUGUCGCGUGGGUUAGUUGGGCCGCAAUUGGUGUUUCGGCCCAUUAGGCCUCCCAAACCCUAGCCGCCACCCUCCUAUCUACUCCCCCUCAAGGAUGCCGCCCCCCCACUCCUCAUUUCCCCUUGGCCGCCGCCCCCCCUGUCCACCUCCUCCUCCCUCCAUUGUUGCAGCCACCAAAACCCUAGCCGCCCCCCCCAAUCCCCUCCUCCCUAGGUGCUACUCCGUGCCGCUCGGAUCAUCGUCUUUUGGUGCGAAUCUCCAAUCAUUUUGGUGGAAGGAAGAAGGGAGGAAGGAAAAGGGGAGAACCUAAGGUGAUUUUUCUUUUGUGUUCAUCCCUUGUUCAUUUGCGCUGCGAUUCAAUGGUUUAGAUGUUGCGUUUGCGAUUAGAUAGAGGGGGGGGGGGGCUGUCCAGAAUUUUGCGUGGUGGAUGAACAGCGGUAGUUCCAGCAGUUUUUAGUUUUUUUUCGUGAAGAUUUAAUGGGGAUCAAUUUGGGAAUCUUGUAGAACUUUGUUUUAUCUUUCCAACGAGUAUUUAUGCGCUCAAUUUGGAGUUAUAAAUUAAAAGUUAUCAUCAUUUGAAUCCGGGUAUGUGGCUGUCCAGAAAACAGAUUUUUCAGAGUGAUGAACAGCAACAGUGUUAGCAGUUUCUGGGAAUUUUUCGGGAGCAAUUAGUGUUAAUCAGUAUUAGAAUCUUGUAGAACUUUGUUUUAUCUUUCCAACGAGUAUUUAUGCGCUCAAUUUGGAGUUAUAAAUUAAAAGUUAUCAUCGUUUGAAUCCGGGUAUGUGGCUGUCCAGAAAACAGAUUUUUCAGAGUGAUGAACAGCAGCAGUGUUAGCAGUUUCUGGGGAUGUUUCGGGAGUAAUUAGUGUUAAUCAGUAUGAGAAUCAUGUAGGGCUUUUUCUUAUCUUUCCAACAAGUACUUAUGCGCUCAAAUCGGAAUUAUAUUUUAAAAGUUAUCGCUGUUUGAAUCCGCGUAUGUCGCUGCUCAAAUCAGAAAAAAACAGAUUGCAGGGUUUAUUUUGAGGACCGUUUAGAGGUAAGUAGAUGUUAGAAUUCAAUCAUGAGUUGUAUAUAAAACUUGUGGGGAAUUUUAUGUAGUUGUCUCUGAAGUUUUUGUUUAUUAUCACUGCUGUCCUAAAUUUUAAGUUAUGGACUUGUUAAGCAGCGCCGCUGCAGUUUGGUUAGUGAGGGGAGAAUUGUUACCGUGGCGGGGUUUGAGAUUGCGCGUAGGUGCGGUGUUGUCUUUGAGUUUUUUUUUCAUGAGAAUUUGGUGCACUAAGUUGGGUGUCAAAAACAGGUGGUGGACUUCCGGAUCGUUCUUAGGGAUUUUGCCCUAACUUCGGUAAAGGCAAGUAAAACAGUGAUGGUUAUUUCGUCUUUUGAUUGAAGAGGCUCAUACUUGAUUAUGUUUGUGCUAUUUGUGUUCGUAUCCAUUUUCCUAAUUGGGUACCAUCGUUUGAAAUUAUUUAUGCUUUAUUGAUUAUACAUGUGGAGGGUGUGGUUUGAUCAUGUUACCCAUGUGGUUAUUGAUGUGAAAUGGGUGGAAGUAUAUGUCUAGCACAUUUUAUUUGGGAAGAACUCAUGUUGUUGACAUGCAUAAUGCAUUCAUCAUCCAUUGCAUUGAAGUUUUCGUCGCGAUCUUAUGGUCCGACCGUACCGGUACAAAUGAGCAUCAUAUGUUUCCCGAGAAGGGGUAUGAUGCAGCUUCAUAUCCUUAGAGGUAUGAAGGCAGAAGUCAUGUUGCAUCUGUAGCCAUGUGCAUUCAUGGGUGAAGUGUGGAACCUAUUUUGGUGAUGUGGAUAAGGUGGAUCUUUACUUUGUAAUUCAUCUUGGCAUUGAGUAAUUGAUUACUUGCUUACUUGCUGCAAAUUAAUAUUUAAGGAAGAAGUGGGGAACCAUGUGGUUGCUUAUGCACGGUUGGCUUGCAUUGUCCAACUGUUGUUUGUUUUUUUUACUUGCUGAGAUGUGUCAUCUCACUCUUGCAUUGUCUGAUGCAGGCACCUGAUCUUUGCUUUGGGAAAGAAGGGAUGUAGCAGCACGGCCACCACACUUUUAAAUAAAGGAAUAACUGUUUAUUAAUGAUGUUAAACAGGAAGGGUCAAGUCUAGGGAAUUAUUACAUUCUAAUCUUUCAUGGUAGUUGAACUGUUUAGUUUGGUGGGCUGAGAUGUCUAUCUUUUGUCUGGUCAUGAAUGUUUUUUUCUACCGUUGCAUUUUGAUUAUACUAUGGCAAUUAUCUUUCUUUUAUAUCCUGUAUAAACUAUAUGCUUCCCUUGUUAUGCUACUUUCAAGGGAGGUGCUGCCGGAUUUUGCAGUACUUUCUUUCUCUAUGUGUUGCAUGAGUCUUGUAGAAAGGUUUUUUUUGGUAUCAUCCAUUGUGUGGGAUCAGUGGGGUG